This 103-nucleotide small nuclear RNA is filed under the name Notamacropus eugenii (tammar wallaby). Lineage: Eukaryota; Metazoa; Chordata; Mammalia; Diprotodontia; Macropodidae. The record is from RNAcentral.
GUACUUACUUCAUCAGCUCACAUAUAAAAGUUGAACUAUAGAAAGAUUAGCAUUGUCCCUGUGCAAGGAAAAUCCACAAAUUCACAAGGCAUGCCACAUUAAA